RNAcentral lists this ribosomal RNA (779 nucleotides) under uncultured Alphaproteobacteria bacterium. RNAcentral's name for it is "bacterial SSU rRNA". It matches the Rfam family "Bacterial small subunit ribosomal RNA", at positions 67 to 918 of the family's 1533-position model. Lineage: Bacteria; Pseudomonadati; Pseudomonadota; Alphaproteobacteria. The record is from RNAcentral.
CGCCCCGCAAGGGGAGUGGCAGACGGGUGAGUAACGCGUGUGGAAUCUACCCUUUUCUACGGAACAACUGAGGGAAACUUCAGCUAAUACCGUAUACGGCCGAGAGGCGAAAGAUUUAUCGGAGAAGGAUGAGCCCGCGUUGGAUUAGCUAGUUGGUGGGGUAAAGGCCUACCAAGGCGACGAUCCAUAGCUGGUCUGAGAGGAUGAUCGGCCACACUGGGACUGAGACACGGCCCAGACUCCUACGGGAGGCAGCAGUGGGGAAUAUUGGACAAUGGGCGCAAGCCUGAUCCAGCCAUGCCGCGUGAGUGAUGAAGGCCCUAGGGUUGUAAAGCUCUUUCACCGGUGAAGAUAAUGACGGUAACCGGAGAAGAAGCCCCGGCUAACUUCGUGCCAGCAGCCGCGGUAAUACGAAGGGGGCUAGCGUUGUUCGGAUUUACUGGGCGUAAGGCGCACGUAGGCGGACUAUUAAGUCAGGGGUGAAAUCCCGGGGCUCACCCCGGAACUGCCUUUGAACUGGUGUCUUGAGUUCGAGAGAGGUGAGUGGAAUUCCGAGUGUGAGGUGAAAUUCGUAUAUUUCGGAGGAAACCAGUGGCGAAGGCGGCUCACUGGCUCGAUACUGACGCUGAGGUGCGAAGCGUGGGGAGCCACAGGAUUAGAUCCCUGGUAUCCACGCCGUAACUAUGAGAGCUACCCUCUGCAGUUACUGUUCGGGGGCAGCUAAGCAUUAGCUCUCGCCUGGCGAUACGGUCGCAGAUUAAACUCAAUGAUUGACGGGA